AGAUUCUGCGUUGCCGUUUCCGGUGUUUCUGGUUGGCUGUUUCCGGCAAAGAGUUUCCGGUCGAACUUCCACUUCCUGUGGAUUCCCAUUGACGUAUAAUACAAUCUAGACCGCGCAUUAGGAAAUUUCAGCGAGACGAUAGGCAACCCAGCAACACUCAGCAAGUGUACCGACGAGACAAUGGUAGAAUUCGUGGAAAUGCCAGUCUUGCCAGUGCCGGUGCCUGAUGCGGGUACACUUAGCUCGUAUAUCCGGCGGUAUCAACUAGGCUGAAGGCGCGUCUUUGCCCUGAUUUACCCCCCUAGCUGUCUUACCUUCCCCGCCUAAAGUCGGGCCCAAUGCGCGGUCUAGAUUGUAUUAUACGUCAAUGUGGAUUCCACAAAUAGGAGUGAACGACUCUAAGUGAACCAAGAGGGAACGGAACGGACAGUGAACCAGGUGGUAAACAAGUUGCAGCGUGAAAUUCAAAAAGCAGCGUUCAAAUUACCGCAAAUUCUAAUUCGUUAACAUUUUAUUUCAUGAAGCAUUCUGUGACUGAAUUUCGUUCAUAAUGAGCAAAAAGAAGAGCACCUUGGAAACUUUAACUGUUGAGUCAAUCCUCGCUGACAGGGCCAGGCGUCAAAAAUGUUUGGAAGAAAUACAAAAACUAUCACAGGAGCUCGAGCAGAGCGAGGGUAGCGAUAGUAGUGACAGCGUCCUGCGAGAUUUUUGCGAUGGGACACUUCAUGUCAGAUCAAGUGGCUCCGAUUCCAAUGAUGUUAAUUUGGAAUUUAAGAACUACGGGCACACAGUUUUUUAUUCUGGAGGCUCUGGAAUUCUUUGCGAAGAUGAAACUUUCAAUCAUAUGAACAAAGAUGACCAAUAUUUGUUUGCCCAUAUGUUAUCUUUCCGAUUUUGGGACAAACUUUCAAAAUAUUUCUCCAACCGUCCCUAUGAUAUUGGAAAAAUUUGUUUCCAACUCAUGACCACGUCUCUGGAGCAUGCUGAUUUAUGUAAACAGUUUCUUUUAUCGGAUGCAAAUACUUGGAUGCCAUCCUUUGUUGAUGUGAUCAAUGCUUUUUAUCGCUUGGGUGCAUCACCUCAUUGUUUAAAUAUUGGAGAGGAAAUGCUGGCAGAUUCGGAAAUGAUAGAAGAUUCAGAGAGUGCACAGAACACUAAAAUGAGUGAUGAUAAAAUCCAGCUGCUUCGCACUGUGUUGGAAUAUUUAAAUUUCUGUUUUGGCAAAGAAGCACUAACCUCUGAAAACGCUUUCGAUCUUGUGACUGUGCUUUCAAAAAUUGGCACUGAUAAAAAUUGUUUGAUAAUUUUGCAUUUAAUCAAUAGUCUCAUUGAUUUACUUUUGAGCAGUCAAGUCAGCUUUAACGAUUUUGAUGCAAGGAAUCUUGCUGAGAAACUUCUGAACUUUCAAACUAAUACUGUGAACAAAGUUUUUAUCUGUGUUAAUGUCCUACCGAGGAGCCCCAGAGGACAGUUACUAGCUGUGUACUUUGCAUUUUUCAUCAUGAAUGAUAUACUUGAAAUUAAAAUUAUAAAGUCAGAUGUAAAAAAUUUGGGCCCUGUCUUAGAUAUGCUUCAUGAGCAUGAAGAAAAAAUAAAGCAGCUGAGUCCUCCCAAUAUUUACUUCUUCACUUUAUCGCUGACAAACAUUAUUUACAAUUUGAAAGUUAGCAAUUUUAACAUAGAUGAGUUCACAGAAUUGUUGACAUUUAUGCUCCUUAUCAAGAAGCUUCCACAAAUUCAAGUUCGAGAUUCGAAUUUGAAAUUCAUUAGCAAUUUUGUAGAUUGGUGUUAUAAUCUUUGGAAUUUUUCGCUUGAUGAAUUGAAGGAAGCAAAAUUGUUUGAGUCACCCAAGAAAUCACCUCGAAAGUCACCUAAAAAGAAGGCUGCUUCAAAUUACUGAAAAAACCGCGAUUGGGCGGUGCUAUUUUCCAGUAAACUGAAAGAGGAAGGAAUCUUCUGUAGGAUUCUUCAACAGUUAGUAAAUGACUGAUGAUCGGAAACAACAAUAAAUCUACAAAUCAGUUGUAGCUAAAAUAGAGAUUUUUUUCCAAAGUGUCCUUAAAGUGGACUUGAAUUCUAAUUUGAUUAGAUUGCCUUGUCCUAAGACUGAACUUUUCCUGGAAUAUUUCAAUUAAGUAGUAUGUAAUUUAAAUUUGUUUAUACCUUAGUAGUUUCAUUGCUGUGCAAAGGGAUUUUAGUGAAACUGGGUCCUAGCCAAUUUUUUCUAAAAACCAAAGCGCUAAGGUGUCACCUGCCGUCAAACCGUAAAACCAGCAUUCCAGCAGUGCUUAACAAACAUGUGAAGUGUCAGUAUUAUGCAGAAAAAUUCUUUCAAACAGAAGAAAUCAGAGCUGGAGUUAGCCAGGAUUUCCUUAUAGGGGAAUUCCAAGAGCAAAAAUUCCUGCUAUCCCCCAAAAAGAUGUUUUUCUUUUAAAGGAUUUUCUUACUACUAAUAAUAACUUAUGGUUCUACUACCUCUGAAGCAGAGUUCAAUCAAUGUUAUUUGCUCCCUUCAGUUCUAUGAGAAGAAAUAAUGUGUUCAUUUUGAAAGGACCGCUAAAAUAUGAUUUUUAACUAAUUUCUAAGCCCCAAAUGAAGCAUCAUGAAUGCAUAUUUUUUUUUUUUUUUUUUUUUUUUUUUUUUUUUUAAUUUAACAAACCCAGGUCUAUAGUUAAAGUCAAUCCCAUGCCUCAAACAACAGAUAUCGUGUAAUAUUUGUAGAUACCAAAUUUUAGCACUUUUUUGCGUUUUCUUUGCCUACAAUCAUCACAGUUUUGCUCCUUCUGCAAUCUGAAAAAUCCUCCUUCUGCAAUUUUUCUCUUUUUUACUCACUCAUUAAAUACUCAUUUAGCCUAAUUUUAUUCUCUACCUUGCCCGUUUCAACUUUUUUAUGAACACAUGAGUUAGCAAUUUCUUACAACGUAAUGUGUACGGAUACCUACCAUUUUAUUUUGUUUUGAUAAAUUAUUUAUUUCACUGCAUUUCUCAGUCUUUUGUCUUCUGUCAAAUUUUUGUCAAGGUCAGUUGUAUUGUUUUGAAAAAAGAUGCAAUUUUCCUUAAAAUGAAUGGAAACUGUAGAGAAGCUCAUUUUCAGUUACACAUUAUGCCAACAUUUUGAGAGAAGCACAGAGAUCAUUGAAUUCAAUACAAUAAAUUGGUUCCAGUUUUUGCAAUAUUGAAAAGUUUAUAAGUCAGUUUUUUUGUCUGAGAAGAAGAAAAAUUGACAUUUACUUGUAUGAUUUUCUCAAAUACGUAGUCUUAAUAAUGUUUCCAGCUCAACUGCCAGAUGUUCUUCAGUUUGCAUGUCUUCAGCAUUUGCUGAAGUUGUAAGAAAUCCCACUCCUAUUUAAUACUCAUGUUUUAAAGGUAAUUGGUUCUUAUCUGCUUAAAUGAAAAAUUAAUGAAGCAGGAAGCACCAUCAACAGUAGCAUUGACUGUUUUUAGAUUUAAAAGAAGUCAUGACAAUGUUAAAAUGUACGAUUUAGGAAACUCUUUAUGUUUUUUUAAAAAGGAAAAUUCUUGUGAAAAUGUUGGAAAAAUUUGUGAAAAAAUAUUAGCAUCAAAUUUUUUUGAAUUUUAAAAUUUACUCAUAUUAAUGCCAAACUCAAUUAACUUCUUGUCGAAGUGUUGGCUAUCGUUUUUUUGUAGAAAAGAACGAAAAGGGUUUCCUAAUUCAGAUAUUUUAAGAGUUUCCUCUUCAAAUUAACAAGGUUUUUUCUUUUUUUUUCUUUUUUUUCCUUUUUUUUUUAACAGCGAAUGCUACCAGGGUGAUUCAUUUUUAUUUCAACUUGUUUUUUGAUUCUCCAAUAUUUCUAACAUUUCAAUCAUAGAGCAUAAAAUGGUGCAGCAAUGGUUUGAAAUUUGUCAGACGAGCGUUCUCCCUGAUGAAUUGAAAAAAAAUUACAUCCCCUCAUCAUCCGUAUUACUCGUGUUAAGAUUCUCUACCAUUCCGCCUCUCUCUCUUUCCGGAACGCCUUUUUUUGAAUUUAGCGCCACAUUGGAAAGUUUAGCCACUGUUCCAGCAAGUGCGCUCUCAUCGCCCAGUUACCAGUGAUGCGAUGAAUGACGAUUAUGUACUAAAUUUUCCUAGCUUCGGCCAAAUUUUCUUUUCAUCAUAUCAAUGUCUCUGUCAAAAUUUGCUGAUAAUACCUUUUAAUCAAGUGCCGAGUGGCUUUUUAAAUUGUUUUGAACUUGGUUUUUCUCACUUCAAACACUAAUACGCUUGCGGACUCACGUUUCUUGGUUGACAGUCUCGGGAACAUGUUGGCGAACCUGAUUAAAAUUGGCGGUAAGGUAAAGCAAGUUGCAACAUGUUUCUUUGUCGUCGGCGUCCCCGCGCCACUGGCCACUUGCAAGCAGUGAAGAGUGAAAUAAAUAAGCGAAAGUUCGAACCCGCUUCACGAUAUCUACUAUCAGUUAAUUCCGCCCGCAUUUUAAUCUUAUCGCCCCAUCCUCACGUCCUUUACCAACGGAGCUUCUUUCAAGAUCGUUAUCACUCUUCAACUGUCGUGAUUGUGCCUUUCUUUGAUCGACGAAUCUGUGACUCUUGCCCAGCAUGGUAGAAAUGACGGUUCUGUAGCUUCGUCAUCCGUGAGUUUUCCAUCUCCUUAUCUUCGAUACCGUAUUAUCCUGAGCAUCUUUAUUUCGUUGACAUCCUCGGCAGUCGAUUCCCUCCGUUUCCUGACUCGAAAUGGAGUUCAGCAACAUCCCUGAAGUACUGCAGGAAGUGGUCAAAGACAAUCAAUUGAUCAUCCAACAUCUCCCCCAGCCACCAGCCUUCAUUGCUAUGUUCAUGGACACUCCUGAUGAGGAUGUAUAUUUUAUUCACAAGAAGCCCAUU
This 4840-nucleotide long non-coding RNA is filed under the name Bemisia tabaci. Its description in RNAcentral is "lncRNA ENSSSA1NGG002279". The record is from RNAcentral. Lineage: Eukaryota; Metazoa; Arthropoda; Insecta; Hemiptera; Aleyrodidae.